RNAcentral lists this ribosomal RNA (303 nucleotides) under uncultured bacterium. Its description in RNAcentral is "partial 16S ribosomal RNA". It matches the Rfam family "Bacterial small subunit ribosomal RNA", at positions 507 to 807 of the family's 1533-position model. The record is from RNAcentral.
AGCAGUCGCCGCGGUAAUGCGAAGGGGGCUAGCGUUGUUCGGAUUUACUGGGCGUAAAGGGCGCGUAGGCGGACUGAUAAGUCAGGGGUGAAAUCCCAAGGCUCAACCUUGGAACUGCCUUUGAUACUGUUUGUCUUGAGUUCGAGAGAGGUAAGUGGGACUGCGAGUGUAGAGGUGAAAUUCGUAGAUAUUCGCAAGAACACCAGUGGCGAAGGCGGCUUACUGGCUCGAAACUGACGCUGAGGCGCGAAAGCGUGGGGAGCAAACAGGAUUAGAUACCCCCGUAGUCCCUGUCUCUUAUAC